RNAcentral lists this ribosomal RNA (447 nucleotides) under uncultured bacterium. Its description in RNAcentral is "bacterial SSU rRNA". It matches the Rfam family "Bacterial small subunit ribosomal RNA", at positions 329 to 793 of the family's 1533-position model. The record is from RNAcentral.
CGCCAGACUCCUACGGGAGGCAGCAGUGGGGAAUAUUGCACAAUGGGGGAAACCCUGAUGCAGCGACGCCGCGUGAGCGAUGAAGUAUUUCGGUAUGUAAAGCUCUAUCAGCAGGGAAGAAAAUGACGGUACCUGACUAAGAAGCCCCGGCUAACUACGUGCCAGCAGCCGCGGUAAUACGUAGGGGGCAAGCGUUAUCCGGAUUUACUGGGUGUAAAGGGGGCGCAGACGGCGAUGCAAGCCAGGAGUGAAAGCCCGGGGCCCAACCCCGGGACUGCUCUUGGAACUGCGUGGCUGGAGUGCAGGAGGGGCAGGCGGAAUUCCUGGUGUAGCGGUGAAAUGCGUAGAUAUCAGGAGGAACACCGGUGGCGAAGGCGGCCUGCUGGACUGCAACUGACGUUGAGGCCCGAAAGCGUGGGGAGCAAACAGGAUUAGAUACCCUUGUAG